RNAcentral lists this ribosomal RNA (433 nucleotides) under uncultured bacterium. RNAcentral describes it as "partial 16S ribosomal RNA". It matches the Rfam family "Bacterial small subunit ribosomal RNA", at positions 29 to 507 of the family's 1533-position model. The record is from RNAcentral.
AACGAACGCUGGCGGCAGGCCUAACACAUGCAAGUCGAGCGAGGACUUCGGUCCUAGCGGCGGACGGGUGAGUAACGCGUGGGAACGUGCCCUUUGCUUCGGAAUAGCCCUGGGAAACUGGGAGUAAUACCGGAUGAGCCCUUUGGGGGAAAGAUUGAUCGGCGAAGGAUCGGCCCGCGUUGGAUUAGGUAGUUGGUGGGGUAAUGGCCUACCAAGCCGACGAUCCAUAGCUGGUUUGAGAGGAUGAUCAGCCACACUGGGACUGAGACACGGCCCAGACUCCUACGGGAGGCAGCAGUGGGGAAUCUUAGACAAUGGGGUAAACCCUGAUCUAGCCAUGCCGCGUGAGCGAUGAAGGCCUUAGGGUUGUAAAGCUCUUUCAGCUGGGAAGAUAAUGACGGUACCAGCAGAAGAAGCCCCGGCUAACUCCGUG